AGGAAAGAAAGAAGGAGAGAAGGAAAGAAGGAAGGAAGAGUCCUAUUACAAACAUGUUGUAGUCAAGCAAAAAAUGCCUUUAUUGGCCAACAAGAUUAUAUCUUAGUCUGUGCUGAGUACUUUUCCUUUGUGAGAGGAGGUAAAUACAUGUUUGAUCAUGAAUCUUCUUCUUUUGCAAGAUCUUCAACUUUAUACUACUUAAAAAUGUAGGCUAAGUCGGACUAAUCAGUCUAAUCUAGUCCUAUAAAUACUCUAUACGGCAUCUUUAUUCCAUUAGUGCCAAUUAACCAAGGUUCUGCUCAGAAGCUAAACAACAAAUAAAAUUAAAGAGACCAUCAUUAUAUUUUUAUGCUUGCUUUAGCAGAUUGAGCGAAAUAAUGCCCUUCCUAUUAGUCCCCAGCAUAGAAUACUUGUUCCCUGAGUACUAGCCAGUUCACAACCAUUGGGAAGCAGUACAUAAUAUACAGUUUGGUAGCUGGGCCUAAGUGGUAGAUAUCGAAGAGGUCCUAUGGGAAGAUCUGAGGAAAAAUUGGAUCAAGAAGGAAGAAAAAAAAACUGGGAAAGAAAACAAAAUGCAAGCAAACAACAACAGAAAGAGUGAGAAUGCUAUGUUGUGUUCCACACUUUGUUCCCAUGGUUCUUUCUCUGGAUGUAGAUGGCUCUCUUCAUCACCAAACAAUUGGAACUGGUUUGAAUCAUCUCAAUAGUGAAGAAAGCCACGUCCAUCAGAAUUGAUCCUCAUACAGUAUUGUUGUUGAAGUGUAUAAUGAUCUCCUGGUCCUGCUCAUUUCACUCAGCAUCAGUUCAUGUAGUUAGCUAAAGCCAACUGGAUUGCAGUCUGUAACCAAUAUGAAAAACAUAUUAUAUGACCAUGAAUGUAUGAAAGAAUCUUUACUGAAACUUGCGGUCCUCCUUGGAAAAAACAGCCUACUGGCACUGCCAAACUUCUUCCCAUCCAGAAGUCUUGGUUUUGGAUUAAUGGAGAUGGAGAGGCAGCAUCAUAAAAUGGAAACCACAUUGGAUUUGGAGUCAGAAGAUUUUGGUUCUAUCCUGUUUUAUACUCACUGUCAAAACAAGCACUGUGUCAAGCACUGGAGAUACAAGAAAGCACAAGAGACAGUCCCUACCCUCAAAGAACUCACACUCUAAUGAAGGAGACAACAGAAAACAAUUCUAGACAAUCAAAAUAUAUACAAGACAGAUGGCAUUUUCAAAAAAUGGUAAUGUGGAAAAGGCUGUGGAAAGCAAAUUCAUAUUUUUGCAUGUUUCAUUUCAUUGUUAUAUUGCUGCAAUUUAUAGCAAGUGACUAUACAGUGAAUGCUGUAACUAGGUUCAAACUAAACAUAGAUCAACUCUUAAAGGAAAGCAUUAUCUGUGCUCAGUAUUGGCAGCCAUUGGCUUUGCACUGGUCACCUUUUUAUUUCUGCACCUGACUCUUUUCUAAAAUGUAUCAGAUGAUGACACCUGGCCUUUAAAAAAUGCAAAUAAAAUACAAAGGUGUUAGAUGCCCAGGUUUUAACUCAAAAUGUUGAGGAAAGAAGGACUCAAGAGUAUAAAAGCAUGGUACAAAACUUACAGGCUCAACUAACUGCCUAAGAGCAAACAUUUUGGUAAAAUAAUUUCAUUGU
Antechinus flavipes (yellow-footed antechinus) is the source of this 1628-nucleotide long non-coding RNA. RefSeq lists it as uncharacterized. The record is from RefSeq and is a predicted model, not a curated record. NCBI's taxonomy places the organism in Eukaryota, Metazoa, Chordata, Mammalia, Dasyuromorphia, Dasyuridae. The transcript has 7 exons.